ACACAUGCAAGUCGAGCGGAAACGAGUUAUCUGAACCUUCGGGGGACGAUAACGGCGUCGAGCGGCGGACGGGUGAGUAAUGCCUAGGAAAUUGCCCUGAUGUGGGGGAUAACCAUUGGAAACGAUGGCUAAUACCGCAUGAUGCCUACGGGCCAAAGAGGGGGACCUUCGGGCCUCUCGCGUCAGGAUAUGCCUAGGUGGGAUUAGCUAGUUGGUGAGGUAAGGGCUCACCAAGGCGACGAUCCCUAGCUGGUCUGAGAGGAUGAUCAGCCACACUGGAACUGAGACACGGUCCAGACUCCUACGGGAGGCAGCAGUGGGGAAUAUUGCACAAUGGGCGCAAGCCUGAUGCAGCCAUGCCGCGUGUAUGAAGAAGGCCUUCGGGUUGUAAAGCACUUUCAGUCGUGAGGAAGGUAGUGUAGUUAAUAGCUGCAUUAUUUGACGUUAGCGACAGAAGAAGCACCGGCUAACUCCGUGCCAGCAGCCGCGGUAAUACGGAGGGUGCGAGCGUUAAUCGGAAUUACUGGGCGUAAAGCGCAUGCAGGUGGUUUGUUAAGUCAGAUGUGAAAGCCCGGGGCUCAACCUCGGAAUUGCAUUUGAAACUGGCAGACUAGAGUACUGUAGAGGGGGGUAGAAUUUCAGGUGUAGCGGUGAAAUGCGUAGAGAUCUGAAGGAAUACCGGUGGCGAAGGCGGCCCCCUGGACAGAUACUGACACUCAGAUGCGAAAGCGUGGGGAGCAAACAGGAUUAGAUACCCUGGUAGUCCACGCCGUAAACGAUGUCUACUUGGAGGUUGUGGCCUUGAGCCGUGGCUUUCGGAGCUAACGCGUUAAGUAGACCGCCUGGGGAGUACGGUCGCAAGAUUAAAACUCAAAUGAAUUGACGGGGGCCCGCACAAGCGGUGGAGCAUGUGGUUUAAUUCGAUGCAACGCGAAGAACCUUACCUACUCUUGACAUCCAGAGAACUUUCCAGAGAUGGAUUGGUGCCUUCGGGAACUCUGAGACAGGUGCUGCAUGGCUGUCGUCAGCUCGUGUUGUGAAAUGUUGGGUUAAGUCCCGCAACGAGCGCAACCCUUAUCCUUGUUUGCCAGCGAGUAAUGUCGGGAACUCCAGGGAGACUGCCGGUGAUAAACCGGAGGAAGGUGGGGACGACGUCAAGUCAUCAUGGCCCUUACGAGUAGGGCUACACACGUGCUACAAUGGCGCAUACAGAGGGCGGCCAACUUGCGAAAGUGAGCGAAUCCCAAAAAGUGCGUCGUAGUCCGGAUUGGAGUCUGCAACUCGACUCCAUGAAGUCGGAAUCGCUAGUAAUCGUGGAUCAGAAUGCCACGGUGAAUACGUUCCCGGGCCUUGUACACACCGCCCGUCACACCAUGGGAGUGGGCUGCAAAAGAAGUAGGUAGUUUAACCUUCGGGGGGACGCUU
Molecule: ribosomal RNA, 1425 nt
Filed under: Vibrio alginolyticus
Lineage: Bacteria; Pseudomonadati; Pseudomonadota; Gammaproteobacteria; Vibrionales; Vibrionaceae
Description: bacterial SSU rRNA
Rfam family: Bacterial small subunit ribosomal RNA
Source: RNAcentral